CGCGUGAGGAACCUGCCUUUCAGAGGGGGACAACAGCUGGAAACGGCUGCUAAUACCGCAUAACACAUAGGUGUCGCAUGGCAUUUAUGUCAAAGAUUUAUCGCUGAGAGAUGGCCUCGCGUCUGAUUAGCUAGUUGGUAGGGUAACGGCCUACCAAGGCGACGAUCAGUAGCCGGACUGAGAGGUUGGCCGGCCACAUUGGGACUGAGAUACGGCCCAGACUCCUACGGGAGGCAGCAG
Molecule: ribosomal RNA, 240 nt
Filed under: uncultured bacterium
Lineage: Bacteria
Description: partial 16S ribosomal RNA
Rfam family: Bacterial small subunit ribosomal RNA
Source: RNAcentral